Long non-coding RNA from Trachymyrmex cornetzi, 612 nucleotides. RefSeq lists it as uncharacterized. The record is from RefSeq and is a predicted model, not a curated record. NCBI's taxonomy places the organism in Eukaryota, Metazoa, Arthropoda, Insecta, Hymenoptera, Formicidae. The transcript has 3 exons.
GAGAAGUCUGCAAAACUAAAUAAAUUGCGGAAGCAAUUGGAAAAUUCUGAAAACAAGCUGCAGAAUCAGAGGAAUGAAUUGGCGCAUAAACAUGCUUAAGAAAAGUUAAUGCUCAUCAAAGAACAACAGCGGUUGCUAUCGGAAUGCGAGAAUUUACAAUCGCGACUGCAGACGAUCGAGAAAGAGAAAUGCGACAUCGCGAAAUCUGCCGCAUAAGUUGAAAAUUAAUUGCUACUUUAAGAAGAGAAAAUGCAGGAAGCACUGGUGGAGCAAAACAAAUGGCAAGAACUAGUAAAUGACGUUGAGCGGAAAUUCCAUUCACAGAAAAAUGCGUUAGUGAGCGCACACGCCAAGGAAUUCAUAUAUUCCGUGAUAUUCUCGAUGUACGGCCAAGCUGCAUUCCGUCUGUUGUUGCUAAAAAAGAAAGUCGCAGAAUAUAUAAGAGAGGUUCGUGUUACGACAAAAAAGGAAGAAGAAAGGAACGAGGCUUACUUUGCUUGGACCUCUUCAUUGUUGCGUGUGUCUAUCUCCGAGGAGGCGGACGAAGAGGCCUGCGUCUCCUGACUCUCCUUCAGUUUUCGUCUUAGACUUUAGAUUGUACCGUCCUUAUUC